GAUGAACGCUAGCGGCAGGCUUAAUACAUGCAAGUCGAGGGGCAGCAGGGGUAGCAAUACUCGCUGGCGACCGGCAAACGGGUGCGGAACACGUACAGAACCUUCCUUUAAGUGGGGAAUAGCCCAGAGAAAUUUGGAUUAAUACCCCGUAACAUUAUGAAGUGGCAUCACUUUAUAAUUAUAGAUUCAUCGCUUAAAGAUGGCUGUGCGGCUGAUUAGGUAGUUGGCGGGGUAACGGCCCACCAAGCCUGCGAUCAGUAACUGGUGUGAGAGCACGACCAGUCACACGGGCACUGAGACACGGGCCCGACUCCUACGGGAGGCAGCAGUAAGGAAUAUUGGUCAAUGGACGCAAGUCUGAACCAGCCAUGCCGCGUGGAGGAUGAAGGUCCUCUGGAUUGUAAACUUCUUUUAUCUGGGAAGAAACCCACGUUUUCUAAUGUGGUUGACGGUACCAGAUGAAUAAGCACCGGCUAACUCCGUGCCAGCAGCCGCGGU
RNAcentral lists this ribosomal RNA (498 nucleotides) under uncultured bacterium. RNAcentral's name for it is "bacterial SSU rRNA". It matches the Rfam family "Bacterial small subunit ribosomal RNA", at positions 28 to 521 of the family's 1533-position model. The record is from RNAcentral.